This 746-nucleotide ribosomal RNA is filed under the name uncultured bacterium. Its description in RNAcentral is "bacterial SSU rRNA". It matches the Rfam family "Bacterial small subunit ribosomal RNA", at positions 8 to 796 of the family's 1533-position model. The record is from RNAcentral.
AGAGUUUGAUCAUGGCUCAGAACGAACGCUGGCGGCAGGCCUCAAACAUGCAAGUCUAGGGGGCGUAGCAAUACGUCACCGGCGGACGGGUGCGUAACACGUGGGAAUGUACUUAUUGGUUCGGAACAACUCAGGGAAACUUGAGCUAAUACCGAAUGUGCCCGAAAGGGGAAAGAUUUAUCGCCAAUAAAUCAGCCCGCGUCCGAUUAGCUAGUUGGUGGGGUAAAGGCCCACCAAGGCGACGAUCGGUAGCUGUUCUGAGAGGAAGAUCAGCCACACUGGGACUGAGACACGGCCCAGACUCCUACGGGAGGCAGCAGUUGGGAAUCUUGGACAAUGGGGGAAACCCUGAUCCAGCCAUGCCGCGUGAGUGAUGAAGGCCUUCGGGUUGUAAAACUCUUUCGACGGGGACGAUAAUGACGGUACCCGUAGAAAGAAGCUCCGGCUAACUUUCGUGCCAGCAGCCGCGGUAAUACGAAGGGGGCUAGCGUUGUUCGGAAUUACUGGGCGUAAAGCGUGCGCAGGCGGUCUUCCAAGUCAGUGGUGAAAGCCCGGAGCUCAACUCCGGAACUGCCAUUGAAACUGUGAGACUCGAGUACGAGAGAGGUGAGUGGAAUUCCCAGUGUAGAGGUGAAAUUCGUAGAUAUUGGGAAGAACACCGGUGGCGAAGGCGGCUCACUGGCUCGUAACUGACGCUCAGGCACGACAGCGUGGGGAUCAAACAGGAUUAGAUACCCUAGUAGUCC